This 786-nucleotide non-coding RNA is filed under the name Tachina punctocincta. Lineage: Eukaryota; Metazoa; Arthropoda; Insecta; Diptera; Tachinidae. The record is from RNAcentral.
AUAAAGUUUUAUUUUAGCUUAAAGAUUUAUUAUUAGUUUAAUUUAUAUGUAAAUUUUUGUAUGAAUUUUUAUUUAUUUUAAUAAUAAAUAAUAUUAAUUUAUUCGCAAUAAUUGGUAUUAUUAAUUAAAGAAAUUUAGAAAUAGUAAUAUUAAAGAGUAUUGACUAAAUUUGUGCCAGCAGUCGCGGUUAUACAAAUAAUACAAAUAAUUUUUUUUAGUUAAAGUUAAAUUGUUAUAUUAAAAUUAAUAAAAAUUUAUUAGGUGAAAUUUUAAAUUAAUUAAUAUUUUUAAUAAUUAUAAUUGAUACUUGAAAAUUUUAAUUAAAAACUAGGAUUAGAUACCCUAUUAUAUAAAAUGUAAAUUUUAAAAACUUAGGUAGUAAUAGUUAUGUUCUUGAAACUUAAAAAAUUUGGCGGUAUUUUAGUCUAUUCAGAGGAACCUGUUUUAUAAUCGAUAAUCCACGAUGGACCUUACUUAUAUUUGUAAUCAGUUUAUAUAUCGUCGUUAUUAGAAUAUUUUAUAAGAAAGUUAAUUUUCAAAGUUUUAUAAAAGAAAAUAUAUCAGAUCAAGGUGUAGCUUAUAUUUAAGUAAAAAUGGGUUACAAUAAAAUUAUUUAUAUGAAUAUAAAUUUGAAAUAUUUAUUGAAAGUGGAUUUGAUAGUAAAAUUAUAAAGAUUAAUAAUUUGAUUUUAGCUCUAAAAUAUGUACACAUCGCCCGUCACUCUUAUUAUUAAGGUAAGAUAAGUCGUAACAUAGUAGAUGUACUGGAAAGUGUAUCUAGAAUGCA